RNAcentral lists this ribosomal RNA (253 nucleotides) under uncultured bacterium. Its description in RNAcentral is "partial 16S ribosomal RNA". It matches the Rfam family "Bacterial small subunit ribosomal RNA", at positions 524 to 776 of the family's 1533-position model. The record is from RNAcentral.
AACGGAGGAGGCAAGCGUUAUCCGGAAUUAUUGGGCGUAAAGCGUCCGUAGGUGGUUGGCUAAGUCUGCUGUCAAAGGGUGGGGCUUAACCUCAUAAAGGCAGUGGAAACUGGCGAGCUAGAGUGCGGUAGGGGUAGGGGGAAUUCCCAGUGUAGCGGUGAAAUGCGUAGAGAUUGGGAAGAACAUCGGUGGCGAAAGCGCCCUGCUGGGCCUGCACUGACACUGAAGGACGAAAGCUAGGGGAGCGAAAGGG